AACAUCUGUGCCAGUCUUCCUCUAUUUUCUAUGUGGGUCACCACCACAGCAUGGCUUGGCAAGUGGUGUAGGUCCAUGCCUGGGAUCCAAACUGGUGAACCCAGACCACCGAAGCGUGGCACACAGAACUUUAACCACUCGGGCCUGGCCCCAAAUACUUUUUAUUUUUUAAAAACAUAACAUUUUAGAAUAUACAACAUUUGUUGAAGUGGUACAGUACAGUAGUGGUUCUGGCAGUGUUGCUGAUUUAAUUAUAUAAUAGCUAUAUUUGUUUCUCACCUAUAAAAUGGAAACAUCAUCAUCUUCUCAGAACCUCUGUGAUGGCAUCAGGAUGAUGUCAGCGUUAAAUGAAAUCAUACAUAUAAGUUCCUAAAAGGUAAAUGCUAAUGCAAGCUGCAAUUGUGAUUGACAGAAGCCUUAAAAAUGAAAAUAAACUGAGUCAGUUUUUAUUUAUUUUUAAAAUAUUUACAUACAAGUUUUCAAGUGGUUAAAAAUGUCUCAAAUUGAUAACUUCUGGAAAUGCUUUGUUAAAGUUCCUAUCAUUAAGCAAAAUAUCCAGUUUUGAUAAACUAAUACACUGGAUUACCUCUGAAAUGUCACAUGACUGCUUUGAACAUCAGCGCUCUUAAAUUUUUUUUAAUUAGUUCACUCUGCUCUUCUCUAAGGAAAGCAGCUUCUAUUUAUCUUUAGCAUAUGUUCUUAAAAACUGGUAGGAAGCGGAAGAUAAAAUUAUAUUAAUGUCACUAUAGUACCUUUUAAAAGCAUGUUUUAGUCCAAACCAAAACUUUUAUAUUGUUUUUAAAUAGGUUAUCUUAUUAAGUCCUAUUUUCCAUACUGCCAAUUAUUUUUCUAAAACACAACUAAAACCAAAGUUUCACUACACAACAGUUGGCCUAACUACAUGUAACACUUUCUGGUAUUUUCUGUUCUAUGAUGUGCUAAAAAUUUUCCACAAGUGCAGCAGUACUGGGGAGCAGGAGGGAUAGAAAUUUCCCUUCUGUUAUUUAUAAGUGAUAUUAGGUUGAAAUAUUGUGACUGCUUUUUGAGAGCAUGGUUCUAAAUCUAAAUUUUUCUGCCUUUUUCUAACAAUCAGUUAUCAAAAAGAAGCAUAGCAGAACCAAGGUAAAUUUAAAUUUAAUAUUGUUAAACAGUGUUCAAGAUAAACUUUCCUCUAUAUUUUAUGUAUAUAUACACACAGUACAGCAUUAACAAGUUAUUUUAUAUGAAAAUAUUUAGCUAGAAGCACAGUGAUAAUUUUAUCAAAGUAUAAAAUAUUUUAAUGAACACAGUUAAAG
RNAcentral lists this long non-coding RNA (1295 nucleotides) under Equus asinus (donkey). RNAcentral's name for it is "lncRNA (ENSEASG00005030831.1)". The record is from RNAcentral. Lineage: Eukaryota; Metazoa; Chordata; Mammalia; Perissodactyla; Equidae.